RNAcentral lists this ribosomal RNA (494 nucleotides) under uncultured bacterium. RNAcentral describes it as "partial 16S ribosomal RNA". It matches the Rfam family "Bacterial small subunit ribosomal RNA", at positions 28 to 506 of the family's 1533-position model. The record is from RNAcentral.
GACGAACGCUGGCGGCGUGCCUAAUACAUGCAAGUAGAACGCUGAAGGAGGAGCUUGCUCUUCUGGAUGAGUUGCGAACGGGUGAGUAACGCGUAGGUAACCUGCCUGGUAGCGGGGGAUAACUAUUGGAAACGAUAGCUAAUACCGCAUAAGAGUAGAUGUUGCAUGACAUUUGCUUAAAAGGUGCAAUUGCCUCACUACCAGAUGGACCUGCGUUGUAUUAGCUAGUUGGUGGGGUAACGGCUCACCAAGGCGACGAUACAUAGCCGACCUGAGAGGGUGAGCGGCCACACUGGGACGGAGAACCGGCCCGAACUCCUACGGGGGGAAGCAGUGGGGAAUCUUCGGCAAUGGAGGGAAGCCUGACCGAGCAACGCCGGGUGAGGGAAGAGGGUUUUCGGAUGGUAAAGCUCUGUUGUAAGGGAAGAACGAGGGGGGGGGUGGAAAGUCCACACUGGGACGGUAUCUUACCAAAAAGGGACGGCUAACCACGU